GCGGGGGUCGCCUAGCCUGGACAAUGGCGUCGGGUUUAGGCCCCGAUGGCUUAGUGCCUUCGUGGGUUCAAAUCCCACCCCCCGCA
RNAcentral lists this transfer RNA (86 nucleotides) under Pseudomonadota bacterium. Its description in RNAcentral is "tRNA-Leu". It matches the Rfam family "tRNA". From Rfam's summary of the family: Transfer RNA (tRNA) molecules are approximately 80 nucleotides in length. The record is from RNAcentral. Lineage: Bacteria; Pseudomonadati; Pseudomonadota. RNAcentral also lists the same sequence under 2 other names.